AUUGAACGCUGGCGGCAGGCCUAACACAUGCAAGUCGAGCGGUAGAGAGAAGCUUGCUUCUCUUGAGAGCGGCGGACGGGUGAGUAAUACCUAGGAAUCUGCCUGAUAGUGGGGGAUAACGUUCGGAAACGGACGCUAAUACCGCAUACGUCCUACGGGAGAAAGCAGGGGACCUUCGGGCCUUGCGCUAUCAGAUGAGCCUAGGUCGGAUUAGCUAGUUGGUGAGGUAAUGGCUCACCAAGGCUACGAUCCGUAACUGGUCUGAGAGGAUGAUCAGUCACACUGGAACUGAGACACGGUCCAGACUCCUACGGGAGGCAGCAGUGGGGAAUAUUGGACAAUGGGCGAAAGCCUGAUCCAGCCAUGCCGCGUGUGUGAAGAAGGUCUUCGGAUUGUAAAGCACUUUAAGUUGGGAGGAAGGACAGUAAAUUAAUACUUUGCUGUUUUGACGUUACCGACAGAAUAAGCACCGGCUAACUCUGUGCCAGCAGCCGCGGUAAUACAGAGGGUGCAAGCGUUAAUCGGAAUUACUGGGCGUAAAGCGCGCGUAGGUGGUUUGUUAAGUUGAAUGUGAAAUCCCCGGGCUCAACCUGGGAACUGCAUCCAAAACUGGCAAGCUAGAGUAUGGUAGAGGGUAGUGGAAUUUCCUGUGUAGCGGUGAAAUGCGUAGAUAUAGGAAGGAACACCAGUGGCGAAGGCGACUACCUGGACUGAUACUGACACUGAGGUGCGAAAGCGUGGGGAGCAAAUAGGAUUAGAUACCCUGGUAGUCCACGCCGUAAACGAUGUCAACUAGCCGUUGGGAGUCUUGAACUCUUAGUGGCGCAGCUAACGCAUUAAGUUGACCGCCUGGGGAGUACGGCCGCAAGGUUAAAACUCAAAUGAAUUGACGGGGGCCCGCACAAGCGGUGGAGCAUGUGGUUUAAUUCGAAGCAACGCGAAGAACCUUACCAGGCCUUGACAUCCAAUGAACUUUCUAGAGAUAGAUUGGUGCCUUCGGGAACAUUGAGACAGGUGCUGCAUGGCUGUCGUCAGCUCGUGUCGUGAGAUGUUGGGUUAAGUCCCGUAACGAGCGCAACCCUUGUCCUUAGUUACCAGCACGUAAUGGUGGGCACUCUAAGGAGACUGCCGGUGACAAACCGGAGGAAGGUGGGGAUGACGUCAAGUCAUCAUGGCCCUUACGGCCUGGGCUACACACGUGCUACAAUGGUCGGUACAAAGGGUUGCCAAGCCGCGAGGUGGAGCUAAUCCCAUAAAACCGAUCGUAGUCCGGAUCGCAGUCUGCAACUCGACUGCGUGAAGUCGGAAUCGCUAGUAAUCGUGAAUCAGAAUGUCACGGCGAAUACGUUCCCGGGCCU
This 1358-nucleotide ribosomal RNA is filed under the name uncultured bacterium. Its description in RNAcentral is "bacterial SSU rRNA". It matches the Rfam family "Bacterial small subunit ribosomal RNA", at positions 28 to 1381 of the family's 1533-position model. The record is from RNAcentral.